This is a non-coding RNA of Vicia faba (fava bean), 225 nucleotides long. Lineage: Eukaryota; Viridiplantae; Streptophyta; Magnoliopsida; Fabales; Fabaceae. The record is from the annotation of a GenBank genome assembly.
AUGCACUUUGAGCCUGAUAGAUGGAAUGAGCCAGCAAAGCCUGGAACAUUCCAAGUUUUUGGUGCUGGACCAAGACUAUGUCCUGGAAACAUGCUUGCAAGAAUUCAACUAGCACUUUUUCUUCAUCAUUUGUCCAUAGGAUACAAGUGGGAGCUGGUUAAUCCAAAUGCAGAUAUCAUUUAUCUUUCUCAUCCUGCUCCUAUUGAUGGGGUUGAGGUCAUUUAG